AGGACGAACGCUGGCGGCGUGCUUAACACAUGCAAGUCGAACGAGGUGCUUGCACCUAGUGGCGAACGGGUGAGUAACACGUGAGCAACCUGCCCUUGGCUCUGGGAUAGCCUCCGGAAACGGGGAUUAAUACCGGACAUGACCUUCUUCCACAUGGUGGAGGGUGGAAAGUUUUUCGGCCAGGGAGGGGCUCGCGGCCUAUCAGCUUGUUGGAGGGGUAACGGCCCACCAAGGCGACGACGGGUAGCCGGCCUGAGAGGGCGACCGGCCACACUGGGACUGAGACACGGCCCAGACUCCUACGGGAGGCAGCAGUGGGGAAUAUUGCACAAUGGGGGAAACCCUGAUGCAGCGACGCCGCGUGCGGGAUGAAGGCCUUCGGGUUGUAAACCGCUUUCACCAGGGACGAAGCGAGAGUGACGGUACCUGGGGAAGAAGCGCCGGCUAACUACGCGCCAGCAGCCGC
This 466-nucleotide ribosomal RNA is filed under the name uncultured bacterium. RNAcentral's name for it is "SSU rRNA". It matches the Rfam family "Bacterial small subunit ribosomal RNA", at positions 26 to 518 of the family's 1533-position model. The record is from RNAcentral.